This 259-nucleotide long non-coding RNA is filed under the name Brassica napus (rape). Its description in RNAcentral is "long non-coding RNA (BNAP_LNC000109)". The record is from RNAcentral. Lineage: Eukaryota; Viridiplantae; Streptophyta; Magnoliopsida; Brassicales; Brassicaceae.
AAACCCAUAUGAGAAGAAGAUUUUCUAGACAUUUCUUAGCCAUGAUAGCAUAAGUGUUUUGAAGCUCUUCUUGAUUUUUUUCUUCCCCAAGAUCGUGUCUCUGAUGUUGCGGUCUAUGAGCUUGUAGAUCGUUGGAGGAGUUGAGGAGAUUCCCUGGUGUAGGCGUUUAUUCCGCUCUGCCCAAAUGUUGUAGAUAGUUGCAUGAGCAACCAGCUUCUUGAGAAUCAAAGGAGUAGUGGAGUCCUUUAGAGAAAUCCAU